AAAAAAUCCGCUAAGGUUAGGGCAGAAGAAUCCGUACCACAAACCGACACAGGUGGACAAGAUGAGUAUUCUCAGGCGCUCGGGUGAUGGUCUGCGAAGGAACUAGGCAAAUUAGCUCCGUAACUUCGGGAGAAGGAGUGCCCACCUCAGACGUGGGUCGCAGUGAAUAGCGUCAGGCGACUGUUUAACAAAAACACAGGUCUCUGCUAAGUCAAAAAAACGACGUAUAGGGGCUGACGCCUGCCCGGUGCCGGAAGGUUAAAAGGAGGGGUUAGUCGCAAGGCGAAGCUCUGAAUUGAAGCCCCGGUGAACGGCGGCCGUAACAAUAACGGUCCUAAGGUAGCAAAUUCCUUGUCGGGUAAGUUCCGACCUGCACGAAUGGCGUAACGAUCUGACGACUGUCGGCGCAGGCCGCCCGGCGAACUUGUGGUUCCGGUGAAGACGCCGGAUGCCCGCCACUAGACGAAAAGACCCCGUGCACCUUUACUAUACUUUAACAAUGAAUUAUGGGAUGGACUGCGUAGGAUAGGUGGGAGGCUUUGAACCCGGAUUCUUGGAUUCGGGGGAGCCAAUGGUGAAAUACCACCCUGUUUAUUCUGCGAUUCUAACCUACCGACCUGAUCGGCCGGAGGGACAUUGUUAGACGGGUAGUUUGACUGGGGCGGUCGCCUCCAAAAUUGUAACGGAGGCGUGCGAAGCUUGGUUCAGGAGGUUUGGAAAUCCUCCUUCGAGUGCAAUAGCAUAAACCAGGUUGACUGUGAGACCUACAAGUCAAGCAGCUGCGAAAGCAGGCUAUAGUGAUCCGGUGAUUCUGUAUGGAAGGGUCAUCGCUCAACGGAUAAAAGGUACGCCGGGGUUAACAGGCUGAUCGGAGUCAAGAGUUCAUAUCGACGCUCCGGUUUGGCACCUCGAUGUCGGUUCAUCGCAUCCCGGGGGUGUAGAAGCUCCCAAGGGUUAGGCUGUUCGCCUAUUAAAGCGGUACGUGAACUGGAUUCAGAACGUCGCGAGACAGUUCGGUCUCUAUCUGUGGUGGGCGUAGGAAAUUUGAAAGGAUCUGCCUUUAGUACGAGAGGACCGAGGUGGACGAACCUCUUGUGAUCCAGUUGUCCCGCCAGGGGCACCGCUGGGUAGCGAAGUUCGGUUAUGAUAAGCGCUGAAUGCAUAUAAGCGCGAAACCUUCCUUAAGAUGAGAUUUCCCAAGCGCAAGCUAUGAAGGGCCGUGGAAGACGACCACGUUGAUAGGCUGGGUGUGUAAGCGUAGUAAUACGUUAAGCUGACCAGUACUAAUCGCCCGUUCGGCUUGAUC
This 1306-nucleotide ribosomal RNA is filed under the name metagenome. Its description in RNAcentral is "bacterial LSU rRNA". It matches the Rfam family "Bacterial large subunit ribosomal RNA", at positions 1611 to 2925 of the family's 2925-position model. The record is from RNAcentral.